This 272-nucleotide ribosomal RNA is filed under the name uncultured bacterium. RNAcentral's name for it is "partial 16S ribosomal RNA". It matches the Rfam family "Bacterial small subunit ribosomal RNA", at positions 556 to 793 of the family's 1533-position model. The record is from RNAcentral.
AAGUACGGUAAUUACGUGGGACGUAAAGCGCAUGCAGGCGGCCUGUUAAGUCAGAUGUAGAAACGGCCCGGGGACCUUUAACCGUACGGUAAGUUGCUAUUUAGUAAACGUGGCGAGGCUAGAGUCUUGUAGAGGGGGGUAGGAAUUUCAGGUGUAGCGGUGAAAUGCGUAGAGAUCUGAAGGAAUACCAGUGGCGAAGGCGGCCCCCUGGACAAAGACUGACGCUCAGAUGCGAAAGCGUGGGGAGCAAACAGGAUUAGAUACCCUGGUAG